Cololabis saira (Pacific saury) is the source of this 191-nucleotide small nuclear RNA. RefSeq annotates it as U2 spliceosomal RNA. Lineage: Eukaryota; Metazoa; Chordata; Actinopteri; Beloniformes; Belonidae. The record is from RefSeq and is a predicted model, not a curated record. The transcript has a single exon.
AUCGCUUCUCGGCCUUUUGGCUAAGAUCAAGUGUAGUAUCUGUUCUUAUCAGUUUAAUAUCUGAUAUGUCCUCUAUAUGAGGACAACAUAUUAAGCCGAUUUUUGGCAGCGGGAGUUGAAAAAGGAGCUAGCUCCGUUCACUCCAAGCAUCGCCCCGGUACUGCAGUGCCGCCGGGAACGGUGCACGCUUC